This 292-nucleotide long non-coding RNA is filed under the name Manihot esculenta (cassava). RNAcentral describes it as "long non-coding RNA (MESC_LNC004723)". Lineage: Eukaryota; Viridiplantae; Streptophyta; Magnoliopsida; Malpighiales; Euphorbiaceae. The record is from RNAcentral.
CUCACCAUGCAACUCUUCCCUUUCCCUCCAUAAAACGUGCUUAAAACCCUAGAAAACAUAAGGAUCAACACUUACCUCUUGGCUGGUGUGAUCCUAGCUUCAAAACAUGGAGAAACCAAGCUCCUCAAGCUUCAAGCUCCACACCUUCCUCUUGUUACUCAAAACCUUCAAACCCAAGUAAAAACUCAUGAAAACCUUACAAGAUUUGAGGAAAACACCAUGAAAACCUCCCAAGAAGAGCAUAACCUCACCUUUGCCUACCAAGAGAGCGUCCAAGACCCUCCAUGGCCGG